GGAAGGGCAACCACCCUGGUGGGUGGGCCGGGCUUCAAACCCGGUGGGUGGCGCCAAGCGCCGCCGGGUGGGUUCGACUCCCAUGCCUUUCCGCCA
This 96-nucleotide transfer RNA is filed under the name Comamonadaceae bacterium. Its description in RNAcentral is "tRNA-Sec". It matches the Rfam family "Selenocysteine transfer RNA". The record is from RNAcentral. RNAcentral also lists the same sequence under 4 other names. Lineage: Bacteria; Pseudomonadati; Pseudomonadota; Betaproteobacteria; Burkholderiales; Comamonadaceae.